UGAGCACCCACAUAGUCAUAAACAUCACUUCCAGACACCACUGUGUGCUGCACACAGCAGCCUCGCCUCAGUGUCCUGAGGCCCAGCCUCUUCUCCUGCCUUGGUCAUUUCACAGUCCUGACAUUUUAAGACUUGAACAUCCAUGUGAAUCUAAUAUUCUACUCCUUCAUGGUCAUCCUUGAUAGUCAUCCUUGAUGGACCCCUUGAUCAUCCUUGAUGGACUUUUUGGUCAUCCUUGAUGGUCAUCCUUGAUGAAUUCCUUGAUGAUCAUCCCUUCCUGUCAUUCCUCUUUGUCCAUUUCAACAGAAUGGAUGCCUUGGUGAUGGUGUUUUAUCACAACAGCAGAAAAGUAGCCAAUACAUCUCAAGAAAAUUAGCUGGUUUCUGUAUCAAUGGGAGAAAAUGAGAAAAUCAGCUGAACAGACCUCCAAAAUGUUAUGAAAUUAUUAUUUCAUAAUAAUCUGAACCAACUGAUAAGAACUGACUCUAUGGUUAGAAGCCUACUGAAAGGGGAGCUGGAGAGAUGGCUUAGAGGUUAAGAGCACUGCUUGGUCUUCCACAGUUCCUGGGUUCAAUCCCCAGUAACCACAUGAUGGCUCACAGCUAUCUAUAAUGAGAUCUGGUAUCCUUUUCUGGGGUGCAGACAUACAUGCAAAACACUGUAUACAUAAUAAAUAAAUAAUUUUUAAAAAGAAACCUACUGAAAGUCAGCAUAUAGUUUUAAAACUGUUGUUUCUUUGAAGAGCUAAUUUAGUUGUGAUGACUAAAUAAAAAAAACAAGAAGUCAGUUUGUCCAAAUGCAUUAAGCUAUCAGUCAACUCAAUGAAAAGUGUCAGUUGACAGUUACUUAUUGGGGACAAUUUAUUGAUAGAUCAGCAAAAAGAUAGCUUAUCAGUUAAAAUCACUCAUCCACAAUAAACUUCUAAAGUAUUUGAGAAUUGGGGAGAUGGCUUACUGGGGAAAGAACUUGUCGUGCAAGCAUGAAGACCCAAGUUCUGAUCUCUGGCAGUCAAGUAAAAUCCUGGGGACAUGUUGCAUGCCUGUAGUCCCAGGGUGAGGACACAGGAUCCCUUGCACUUGUUGGUCAGUCAAUCCAGAUUAACCAGUGAGCUCCACGUUCAGUGCAAGGCCUUGUCUCACAAAAGGAAAAAGGAGGAGAACAACUAAGGAAGACAACUGAUACCAACCCCUGGCUCCC
RNAcentral lists this long non-coding RNA (1197 nucleotides) under Cricetulus griseus (Chinese hamster). Its description in RNAcentral is "lncRNA (ENSCGRG00015036808.1)". Lineage: Eukaryota; Metazoa; Chordata; Mammalia; Rodentia; Cricetidae. The record is from RNAcentral.